UAGCAUCCUUGUUUAAUUGUUCAUGUAAGAAAAAGCCAAGUUUACUUAAACAUUCAAUCUGCUCGAUAAUGUACAAUACAUGAUCCAUAACUGACGCCCCCUCUCGCAUACGGGUGUUGAACACUGCAUAGGAGGUUUUGUAUCUCUUCGCAUCCUCUGAGAUGUCGAAGGAUGUUGUGCCACAUUUUCAGGUGUGUGGAGUACCUCCCAC
Molecule: long non-coding RNA, 211 nt
Filed under: Elaeis guineensis (African oil palm)
Lineage: Eukaryota; Viridiplantae; Streptophyta; Magnoliopsida; Arecales; Arecaceae
Description: long non-coding RNA (EGUI_LNC074319)
Source: RNAcentral